RNAcentral lists this ribosomal RNA (305 nucleotides) under uncultured bacterium. RNAcentral describes it as "bacterial SSU rRNA". It matches the Rfam family "Bacterial small subunit ribosomal RNA", at positions 335 to 656 of the family's 1533-position model. The record is from RNAcentral.
UACCCUACGGGACGCAGCAGUGGGGAAUAUUGCACAAUGGGGGAAACCCUGAUGCAGCAACGCCGCGUGAGUGAGGAAGUAUUUCGGUAUGUAAAGCUCUAUCAGCAGGGAAUAGAAAAGAAGGUACCUGAAAAAGAAGCCCCGGCUAACUACGUGCCAGCAGCCGCGGUAAUACGCAGGGGGCAAGCGUUAUCCGGAUUUACUGGGUGUAAAGGGCGUGUAGCCGGGCUGACAAGUCAGAUGUGAAAUCCGGGGGCUCAACCCCCGAACUGCAUUUGAAACUGUUGGUCUUGAGUAUCGGAGAG